UGCAUCGGCCGGGAAUCGAACCCACGCCGCCCGCGUGGCAGGCGAGCAUUCUACCACUGAACCACCGAUGG
Cordylochernes scorpioides is the source of this 71-nucleotide non-coding RNA. The record is from the annotation of a GenBank genome assembly. NCBI's taxonomy places the organism in Eukaryota, Metazoa, Arthropoda, Arachnida, Pseudoscorpiones, Chernetidae.